UGGCUAACUCCUACGGGAGGCAGCAGUGGGGAAUUUUGGACAAUGGGCGCAAGCCUGAUCCAGCAAUGCCGCGUGCAGGAAGAAGGCCUUCGGGUUGUAAACUGCUUUUGUCAGGGAAGAAAUCUUCUGGGUUAAUACCUCGGGAGGAUGACGGUACCUGAAGAAUAAGCACCGGCUAACUACGUGCCAGCAGCCGCGGUAAUACGUAGGGUGCGAGCGUUAAUCGGAAUUACUGGGCGUAAAGCGUGCGCAGGCGGCUUUGCAAGACAGAUGUGAAAUCCCCGGGCUCAACCUGGGAACUGCAUUUGUGACUGCAAGGCUAGAGUACGGCAGAGGGGGAUGGAAUUCCGCGUGUAGCAGUGAAAUGCGUAGAUAUGCGGAGGAACACCGAUGGCGAAGGCAAUCCCCUGGGCCUGUACUGACGCUCAUGCACGAAAGCGUGGGGAGCAAACAGGAUUAGAUACCCGAGUAGUCCAGCUGG
Molecule: ribosomal RNA, 481 nt
Filed under: uncultured bacterium
Lineage: Bacteria
Description: bacterial SSU rRNA
Rfam family: Bacterial small subunit ribosomal RNA
Source: RNAcentral